GGGUUGUGAGGUUAAGCGAAUAAGCGUACACGGUGGAUGCCUAGGCAAUCAGAGGCGAUGAAGGACGUGCUAAUCUGCGAUAAGCGUCGGUAAGGUGAUAUGAACCGUUAUACCCGACGAUUUCCGAAUGGGGAAACCCAAUAUCCAAUGGAUAUUAUCAUGACGUGAAUACAUAGCGUCAUGAAGCGAACCGGGAGAACUGAAACAUCUCAGUACCCCGAGGAAAAGAAAUCAACCGAGAUUCCCCUAGUAGCGGCGAGCGAACGGGGAACAGCCCAGAGUCUUAAUCAAUAGCAGCAUCAGGAGAACGGUCUGGAAAGUCCGGCAGUAAAGGGUGAUAGCCCCGUAUCCGAAGAUGCUGUUAUUGUGAACUCGACGAGUAGGGCGGGACACGUGUUAUCCUGUCUGAAUAUGGGGGGACCAUCCUCCAAGGCUAAAUACUCCUGAUUGACCGAUAGUGAACCAGUACCGUGAGGGAAAGGCGAAAAGAACCCCGGCGAGGGGAGUGAAAAAGAACCUGAAACCGUGUACGUACAAGCAGUAGGAGCCUCUUUAUGGGGUGACUGCGUACCUUUUGUAUAAUGGGUCAGCGACUUAUAUUCUGUAGCAAGGUUAACCGUAUAGGGGAGCCGUAGGGAAACCGAGUCUUAACUGGGCGAAUGAGUUGCAGGGUAUAGACCCGAAACCCGGUGAUCUAUCCAUGGGCAGGUUGAAGGUUGGGUAACACUAACUGGAGGACCGAACCGACUAAUGUUGAAAAAUUAGCGGAUGACUUGUGGAUGGGGGUGAAAGGCCAAUCAAACCGGGAGAUAGCUGGUUCUCCCCGAAAGCUAUUUAGGUAGCGCCUCGUGAACUCAUCUUCGGGGGUAGAGCACUGUUUCGACUAGGGGGUCAUCCCGACUUACCAACUCGAUGCAAACUGCGAAUACCGAAGAAUGUUAUCACGGGAGACACACGGCGGGUGCUAACGUCCGUCGUGAAGAGGGAAACAACCCAGACCGCCAGCUAAGGUCCCAAAGUCAUGGUUAAGUGGGAAACGAAGUGGGAAGGCUCAGACAGCCAGGAUGUUGGCUUAGAAGCAGCCAUCAUUUAAAGAAAGCGUAAUAGCUCACUGGUCGAGUCGGCCCGCGCGGAAGAUGUAACGGGGCUAAACCAUGCACCGAAGCUGCGGCAGCGACACUAUGUGUUGUUGGGUAGGGGAGCGUUCUGUAAGCCUGCGAAGGUGUACUGUGAGGUAUGCUGGAGGUAUCAGAAGUGCGAAUGCUGACAUAAGUAACGAUAAUGCGGGUGAAAAACCCGCACGCCGGAAGACCAAGGGUUCCUGUCCAACGUUAAUCGGGGCAGGGUGAGUCGACCCCUAAGGCGAGGCUGAAAAGCGUAGUCGAUGGGAAACGGGUUAAUAUUCCCGUACUGGUGGUAACUGCGAUGGGGGAACGGAGAAGGCUAGGUUGUCCGGGCGACGGUCGUCCCGGUUCAAGCAUGUAGGCAGAGUGAUUAGGCAAAUCCGGUCACUUAAUGCUGAGGUGUGAUGACGAACCACUAAGGUGGUGAAGCAAUUGAUGCCCUGCUUCCAGGAAAAGCCUCUAAGCUUCAGGUUACCAACAAUCGUACCCCAAACCGACACAGGUGGUCAGGUAGAGAAUACUCAGGCGCUUGAGAGAACUCGGGUGAAGGAACUAGGCAAAAUGGUGCCGUAACUUCGGGAGAAGGCACGCUGGCGGUAAGUGAAGUCCCUCGCGGACGGAGCCGAAGCCAGUCGAAGAUACCAGCUGGCUGCAACUGUUUAUUAAAAACACAGCACUGUGCAAACACGAAAGUGGACGUAUACGGUGUGACGCCUGCCCGGUGCUGGAAGGUUAAUUGAUGGGGUUAUCCUUAGGGAGAAGCUCUUGAUCGAAGCCCCAGUAAACGGCGGCCGUAACUAUAACGGUCCUAAGGUAGCGAAAUUCCUUGUCGGGUAAGUUCCGACCUGCACGAAUGGCGUAAUGAUGGCCAGGCUGUCUCCACCCGAGACUCAGUGAAAUUGAACUCGCUGUGAAGAUGCAGUGUACCCGCGGCAAGACGGAAAGACCCCGUGAACCUUUACUAUAGCUUGACACUGAACAUUGAGCCUUGAUGUGUAGGAUAGGUGGGAGACUAUGAAGUGUGGACGCCAGUCUGCAUGGAGUCAACCUUGAAAUACCACCCUUUAACGUUUGAUGUUCUAACCUAGGCCCGUAAUCCGGGUCGGGGACCGUGUCUGGUGGGUAGUUUGACUGGGGCGGUCUCCUCCUAAAGAGUAACGGAGGAGCACGAAGGUUGGCUAAGCAUGGUCGGACAUCAUGCGGUUAGUGCAAAGGCAUAAGCCAGCUUGACUGUGAGAGUGACGGCUCGAGCAGGUACGAAAGUAGGUCUUAGUGAUCCGGUGGUUCUGAAUGGAAGGGCCAUCGCUCAACGGAUAAAAGGUACUCCGGGGAUAACAGGCUGAUACCGCCCAAGAGUUCAUAUCGACGGCGGUGUUUGGCACCUCGAUGUCGGCUCAUCACAUCCUGGGGCUGAAGUAGGUCCCAAGGGUAUGGCUGUUCGCCAUUUAAAGUGGUACGCGAGCUGGGUUUAGAACGUCGUGAGACAGUUCGGUCCCUAUCUGCCGUGGGCGUUGGAAGAUUGAGAGGGGUUGCUCCUAGUACGAGAGGACCGGAGUGAACGCACCACUGGUGUUCGGGUUGUCAUGCCAAUGGCAUUGCCCGGUAGCUAAGUGCGGAAGAGAUAACCGCUGAAAGCAUCUAAGCGGGAAACUUGCCUCGAGAUGAGUCUUCCCUGUCACCUUGAGUGACCUAAAGGAACGUUUAAGACUAAGACGUUGAUAGGCUGGGUGUGUAAGCGUAGCGAUACGUUGAGCUAACCAGUACUAAUGAACCGUGAGGCUUAACCUGACAACACCGAAGGUGUUU
Molecule: ribosomal RNA, 2930 nt
Filed under: Proteus vulgaris
Lineage: Bacteria; Pseudomonadati; Pseudomonadota; Gammaproteobacteria; Enterobacterales; Morganellaceae
Description: bacterial LSU rRNA
Rfam family: Bacterial large subunit ribosomal RNA
Source: RNAcentral